Carlito syrichta (Philippine tarsier) is the source of this 1561-nucleotide long non-coding RNA. RefSeq lists it as uncharacterized. Lineage: Eukaryota; Metazoa; Chordata; Mammalia; Primates; Tarsiidae. The record is from RefSeq and is a predicted model, not a curated record. The transcript is spliced from 5 exons.
CAUAAUUGUGUCCAGAGCGCUGCUGGUGCUGAUUCCAUCCGGGCCUUCCCGCGGGGAGUGAAUCCGGGAGCUUGGAGUGUUUUCUGCUUCCCUUGAGGAAUGUGAAGACUUAUCAGAUAACAUAUGUGAGCACUUGGAGCUACCCUCACCCCUUGGCAAUGUUACUCACGGCUUGCCAGACCUCACGUGUGAUUCCGGACAUCAAAAUCCACAUAAACGCAAGAUUUAGACAGAUACUUGGAGAGCUCAGGCUGUGGAAAGCUGUACUCAGUCAACCACUUUCCUGAACGUGUAGAGCAUGGGCUGUGACAGGCCUGGGAAUUUGAAACCUCACCUGCCAGCCCCGGCACUGCCCUCUGGUAUUGAAGGACCUUAUGUGCCAUCAGAGAUCUCCAUUGUGUUGGUCAAGCCAGCUUCUCUCAAAAAGCACUCAUGUAAAGCUCUCUCUUACAGAUUUGUGCUGUGCAUUAAUAUGUCAUACAGAUAUUGAUGAAAAUAAAACUGCUGCCUGGCUACCAAAUGGUAGCUUUUUCAAAUCUAAGCCUCGAGAUUUUGUUUGAAAUCAUGCUAAAAUACAGCAGACCUCAGAAUCUUACUCUUACACUACAAAAUGAAAAAGCUCUAAUGAAAAGAUACAUAUUACAAUUAACAAGAAACUGAAGUUGAAAUAAGUGAACAAAUAUUUUCAUGGAGACCCACCCAGGGAGGGACAAUGCUGACUGGAACACAGAAAUGUUUGAUUCAAAUGUCAAAUCAGGCCAUCCUGUCACUUGGGACAUCUUCCCAUCUUCAUUCUGCUCACUGAAGUGCUCAGUUACCACCCUCACAGAAAACACUGCACUUGCCCCCACCUGCGUGGCCAAGGUGCACUUUGCUUUGCAGGUUCUCACACCACCCUACUAGGAUGGUUCUUCCUUGUCCUUUGGGAUAGUUUUUCUCCUCUUACAAGUCUGAGAGAAUCCAAAGGGCAGGAUAUUUCUGUCUUUCCCCUGAAUACUGGAAUCUUAUUGGUUGACCACCAAAAUGUCUGCAAGGAACCUAAGCUGGGUUGAGGAAAUAAAAAAUCUUAAUAUCCCAAGGUGUUAGCUUUUCAUCUGUCAUCUCCAGGGUGUCCAGCUGCUCUCCUGAGUGGCUCCACCCAAUACCUCAGGCUGUUCCUCUAGGAGAUCACCCAGGAGCUGAUAUUGGCUAGACAUUGCAAGGAACAUGGCCCCUUUGGGCAUCCUGGGUCAUCCCCAGACAGUUCUGAAACCUAGGAACUGACACCAGGAAAAGACAAGAGCGUGGCUGAGGACACAUCUCUCUGCAAGAGUUCCAAAGGAAAACAUCAACCCAAAGACAUUCUAAAAAGCUGUCUAUAGCUAUGGAAGAUAACAAGAGAGGCACAAAGAUUUGUUAUAGCUGAGUGUCACGUGAUUAUUCUUUGCUUUCCCCCCAGGGGAAAUGUUCAGACUCUGCAAACAAGUAUUUUAAAGGAGCUACCCACUGCUCUGUGAAAAAAAAAGAACAAUUAAAAUACAGUGUCUGAAAAGUAAAUAAAGGACAAAUAGUUGAUUAUGUA